GAUGAACGCUGGCGGCGUGCUUAACACAUGCAAGUCGAACGGAAAGGCCCUGCUUUUGUGGGGUGCUCGAGUGGCGAACGGGUGAGUAACACGUGAGUAACCUGCCCUUGACUUUGGGAUAACUUCAGGAAACUGGGGCUAAUACCGGAUAGGAGCUCCUGCUGCAUGGUGGGGGUUGGAAAGUUUCGGCGGUUGGGGAUGGACUCGCGGCUUAUCAGCUUGUUGGUGGGGUAGUGGCUUACCAAGGCUUUGACGGGUAGCCGGCCUGAGAGGGUGACCGGCCACAUUGGGACUGAGAUACGGCCCAGACUCCUACGGGAGGCAGCAGUGGGGAAUAUUGCACAAUGAGCGGAAGCCUGAUGCAGCAACGCCGCGUGCGGGAUGACGGCCUUCGGGUUGUAAACCGCUUUCGCCUGUGACGAAGCGUGAGUGACGGUAAUGGGUAAAGAAGCACCGGCUAACUACGUG
Molecule: ribosomal RNA, 468 nt
Filed under: uncultured bacterium
Lineage: Bacteria
Description: partial 16S ribosomal RNA
Rfam family: Bacterial small subunit ribosomal RNA
Source: RNAcentral